This 497-nucleotide ribosomal RNA is filed under the name uncultured bacterium. Its description in RNAcentral is "partial 16S ribosomal RNA". It matches the Rfam family "Bacterial small subunit ribosomal RNA", at positions 28 to 507 of the family's 1533-position model. The record is from RNAcentral.
GAUGAACGCUGGCGGUGUGCCUAAUACAUGCAAGUCGAGCGACAAGACGAGGAGCUUGCUCCUCUGACGUUAGCGGCGGACGGGCGAGUAACACGUAGAUCACCUACUUAUAAGACUGGGAUAACUUCGGAAGACCGGAGAUACUACUAGCUAAUAUAUUGAACCGCAUGGUUCAAUAGUGCAUGACGGUUUUGCUGUCUCUUUUAGCUGGAUCCGCGUCGCAUUAGCUAGUUGGUAAGGUAACGGCUUACCAAGGCAACGAUGCGUAGCCGACCUGAGAGGGUGAUCGGCCACACUGGAACUGAGACACGGUCCAGACUCCUACGGGAGGCAGCAGUGGGGAAUAUUCGGCAAUGGGCGAAAGCCUGACGGAGCAACGCCGCGUGAGUGAAGAAGGUCUUCGGAUCGUAAAACUCUGUUAUUAGGAAAGAACAAAAGUGUAAGAAACUAUGGACGUCUUGGCGGUACCUAAUCAGAAAGCCACGGCUAACUACGUG